This 478-nucleotide ribosomal RNA is filed under the name uncultured bacterium. Its description in RNAcentral is "partial 16S ribosomal RNA". It matches the Rfam family "Bacterial small subunit ribosomal RNA", at positions 28 to 523 of the family's 1533-position model. The record is from RNAcentral.
GAUGAACGCUGGCGGCGUGCUUAACACAUGCAAGUCGAACGAUUAACCCGCCCUCGGGCGGUUAUAGAGUGGCGAACGGGUGAGUAACACGUGACCAACCUGCCCCUUGCUCCGGGAUAACCCAGGGAAACCUCGGCUAAUACCGGAUACUCCGCCAGGCCCGCAUGGGCCGGGCGGGAAAGCCCAGACGGCGAGGGAUGGGGUCGCGGCCCAUUAGGUAGACGGCGGGGUAACGGCCCACCGUGCCCGCGAUGGGUAGCCGGGUGGAGAGACCGAUCGGCCACAUUGGGACUGAGAUACGGCCCAGACUCCUACGGGAGGCAGCAGUGGGGAAUUUUGCGCAAUGGGGGAAACCCUGACGCAGCAACGCCGCGUGCGGGACGAAGGCCUUCGGGUUGUAAACCGCUUUCAGCAGGGAAUAUCGUGAAGGUACCUGCAGAAGAAGCUCCGGCUAACUACGUGCCAGCCGCCGCCGUAA